UCUCUUUAAUAAUGCCAUACACAGGUCUGCUAUACGAUUUGUCCCCAGUAUAUACCCUCUGUUUAAUAUACAAAAUAGAAUAAUGACACAUUGCUGACUCUAGGUGUUAUUGGGGGGGGGGGGAGGGGUUAGUUUGGAGGGGGACAGGGGAGAUAUAUAUAUGUUUUUUGUUGGUUUUGUUUUUUUUCAUACACACAGCCUUGUUUUUUUUUUUUUAAAUCCUCAGGGAAUGAGGAGUUUGGGGGGGGGCAAGAAAGGCCCUGACCCCCAUCCUGAAAAGUUUGGUUCCUAUGUUAAGAUGGAUGGCUCAGCAACACCUGGUUGCAGACUGGACCAAGGAUGGAGCAUCUCCAUCGCUUGCUUACAACCUGGCUCUAGGGUCCAAGCCUGAAGUCCUCGCUCGCUGUAGGUGGGACACAGGAUUUGGCUGACGUUCAUCCAGGCACUUCCUCCUCUUUGCUACCUUUCUCUUCUCAGAACGGUAAGGUCAUUUCUCAGCUUCGGUUGGCACCUUCUCCCCACCCCAUCCCUCCCUCACCUCCUAACCCCCCCCCCGGCCGCCGCUGGGGCCACGCCCGGGCAGCUCCCUCCCUCUCCAUCCCCACUCCCACCUAAGGCUAUUCCCAGCGCCGGUCCCCGCGGGCGCAGGGCAGCUGCGGCGCGGCCGUUCCUCGGAUGCAUGCACUUUGUGAUAAGGCACUAAGAGACCAAGUCAGAAUUCUCCCUGCUUUAUCCAGAGUGCAGAUUCUACCCACUGCUACAAGGACUAAGGACACACACACACACGGACUUCUCACUGCCUACAGAAGCACCAGGGGUGGGGAACGGGGGAGCUGAAACUCAACAGCACGCACAGGACGAUUGCUUCCUUCUAGCAUCAGAGUCUCCUCUUGGUUUUCCUUAAAUCCACGAACUAAAACUGAAUCUACAGGCAAACAGACAACACGGGGUAGAGAGCCUCUCCUGUGCUGCCAGGGCGGUGAGGGCUUGUGCUCACUGCAGUCACUUCUCUGCUGGCCAAGAAGGCGAGUUCUGGAUCUGAGCGCGCUUGGACACCUGCAGGUACCCACACCCCCACCCACUCCUCCACGCAGUAGGAGCAGGGAAUCACUAAGGUUGGAGAAGUCAUUUAAGAUCAUCAAGUCCAACCAUAACCCAGCUGCCAUGCCCACUAGACCAUAACCUGACACCCCCAUGUAUCUGGGGAUGCAACUCUUAGAACCACCCUCUCGAAGCAAACUCAGUUUUCCUCCUGUGAGCAGAUGGGACCAAACUCCUGUCUGCACCUCCAAGGGGUCACCUUCCACUAGACUGGGCUGGACAGGGCCUUGAGGCCCAGUGGGGUAGUGAGGCACUGGAACAGUUUGCCCAGAGACGUUGUGGAGGCUCCAAGCCUGGAAGCCUUCAAAGGGAGGCUGAGUGAGGCCUCGAGUAAGGUUGUCUUGCAGAUGUCCCUGACCAUGGCAGGGAUUGGAACUGGAUGAUCAUUAAGGUCCCUUCCAAACCAAACCAUUCUGUGAUUCUGUGCUUUGGUGCUUUCAUUGAAUGAAGCUGAGAGCUGGAAUUAAACCCUGAGCUCCACCUUGUCCUUUACAGGUCAGGGAGAGGAGAAUGAUUCCUCCUUGUUAUUAAAGCUAUUUGACUCCAAAGCACUCAGGAUGGGAACCUUCCUUCUUAAAAGCUGUAACACUCAAAAAGAGAUUUAGGGAAGGGUUGAAGUUUAGUCUGCCAUUUGGAAACAACCUUUUGCUGAGGACAGGAAGGUCCCAGUGUACAGUGCCAGCUCAUGCUCUGCCUUUACAGAUCACAGAAUCCCAGAGUGCCUGCUUGGAAGGGGCCCCAAGGACCAUCUGGCCCAACCUUUCUAGUUAAGAGGAUAGUUGAACUGAGCUGGACCAGCACCCUGUCAAGCUGAGCCUUAAAGCUGUCCAGCAUAGAGGACUUCACCACUUCCCUUGGGAGAUGAUCCUAACAGAACCAUAGCAUGGUUUGGGCUGGAAGGGACCUCCAGAGGUCACCUAUUUGGGCACCAAAUGUCCAACUGCUCUCAUGGAGGAACAUUUUCUGCUGGAGCCCGAUAGGGAUCUCUCCAGCACUAACAUCCACCUCACCCCUUGUCUUUUCCACAGGAUUCCCUGUACAAAAGGAGUCUCCGUGCUCCUGAGAGCCACCCAUGGCAAUGAGGUCUCCCCUAAGCCUUCCCCAGCUCCCUCAGCCUCUCCUCACAUGGCAGGGCUUCCAGUCACAUUGCUGGGAGCCGCUUGCAUGCUACUGCCAGAUUUCCACAGCUGCUUCUGCUGUGCUGGGGGUGGGGGUAGGGCUGUGAAGCCAGGCCCGGGGUGGCAGUGGGUGGCAGGAGGAGGUGUGCAUGCCACACGCGUCUCCCUGGUCACCUUUUUGGCAGCAGAGGUUGUGAUUCAGCAGUGACUCCUGAAGGGGAACCAUCCGGGUGGGACUAUCCCAUCCCGGCUCCAACUUCUUUUCGCGGUUGUUUGUUUCCACAGUGAUUAAGCACAAAGCCAACCCCACCGAGCCCCCUGGGCACAGGUUCUCCUCUCUCUCUGCACUGAGCACUUCUUUGGGUACUGGACACCGACGCCUUCAUCAGCGCUGCCUCCAGGCGAAAAAACAAAGCACGACGUGAGACCGUUCAGCCUAUUUGUGACCCCUACAAAAAAUAGAACUACAUCUGCAGUAGCCCUUCCCUUCUCGUCUCGGAUCAGCGGAGAACACCGAUUAUACACAUUGGAAACUCUAACUAAAUACAAAAAUAUAUUAGCUUUUGUAUUUUUUCUCAGAGGAUCUUUCUCAUUAUGUCUAUUAUUACACAAAGGAUGUGGCCACUUGGGAGUAAAAAUCAAGGUUGGUUGGUUUUUUUUUUUUGCCUUUUUUCUCUGUGUUUUUGUUUUUAGAGUGGCAUUAAGUAAAUAGCUCAAUUUCCAGGUACAGAAAAUCGUUAAGGUGCAGGUAGAAAAGGCUACUACAGCUUCUAAACAGUUUAAAAGACAGUUCUUGAUGGCAACCAGGAGAAGUUCACAAGAGCUAUGGGAACCUUAUGGCACGCUGGGAAUCGUGUGAGGGGAUGCAGCCUUACAAAGACAGAAAGUUCAACGUACGACGCUAAGACCACGCAAAUCAGUAGCGGCUCUUUCCUGCUCUCCAGGAAAGCUGGAGAAGGGGGGGGUUGAAGCAGCUGGUGGCAGGUGGAGAUGUGAAAAUGGGUCUCUAACCCCACAGUGGUGGGGAGCUGGUGGGUCCAGCGUGAGAGUCAGUCAGCUCCUGAGCUGCUGGGUGCAGUGCUGAGAGGACUCAGCCAACUCCUGAGCUGCUGGGUCCAGCUUGAGAGGACUCAGCCAGCCCCUGAGCCGCUGGGUCCAGCAUUGAGAGUCAGCCAGCUCCUGCUUCCCUGCCCAUGGCCACGGUGAACACCUCGCCGAGGAGAAGACUUCUUAGGAGCAAUAGGAGAGAACAGAAGAAAACCAAAGCCCCUGGGCGUCAUGACAGGUCUGCCUCUGAACUCCAUGGCAUAUUGUUGUUGUUUUUUUUUUGUCGAGACUCGCAGGAUGAGAGAGUUGAGCGUAUAGAAAAUUCCACACAGAAGUAAACUUUUCUGAAGCUCUGCAUAUUUUCCUGAAAAUUUCCUGAUGGGCAGUCAGGACUGAUCUUCUUGGCAGCAGUGCAGCCCAUGACUCGUAGCGUUAUGGCUGUUGCAUUCUCCGCGCAAAGCAAGCGUCAGGCGCGCGCCGCUUGGCCUCCGCGUACAAAAGAACCUGCUCGGUUACAUCCAGCGAGGACUGGGUGAAUCUGCAUAUCCCAAUGCUCUUUGCACCUAUACCAGAAGUAUCUUGUGUGUUUUGUUUUGUUCACGUCUGUCUAGGUUAGAUUGUUGAGAAGUGUUCUCUCACUCACCCUGGCCCUCGGUAUAAAAAAAGUAAUAUAACCAAACAAAUCCCCCAAAACACCUCACCUGUUAUGGUCACUUUGGGACAGUUCAAAGCUCUUUUAGGUCAGAAAAGCCCAACCCAUUUUCACAUGAAUACAGAACUCAAGGAUUACUCUCUAGAGGUCACUGAGGAAAGCUAGGAGCUGCCCCACCUUAAAAAAAAAAACCAACAAACCAAACCAAAACCAAGACUAAAAGAACCCAAACCAAACCCCAAACCAGCUGUACAAGAGGCAUCUUGAAGUAGUAAAAAAAAAAAGAUGUAAUUAAAAAAAAAACCAAAACCCAAACAACUGAACCAAGCCUAGGUUCAGGGUAUAUAAAGGAAAUUGCUAAAACCAGACAGUAAUAGCUAUAAAAGGCACAACUUCCCUUUUCUGAUAUACACUUGUAAACUUUCUUCAGGUUACAUGCAUAAACCAAAAUGCUACCUUAACUUUGGAGAGGAAAAAUAAUCAAUCCCAAACACUUUGCUAAAAAAAAAAACAACCAAACCACAAUCCAAACAACCAAAUAAAAAAAAAUCCCAACCCCCCAAAUAACCCCAAACAACAACCACGACCCCCCCAAAACCUCCCAAAAUAACAAAAAGCCCAAACAAUGAAAAAAAAAAACCAACCCAGACACCAACAAAAAUAAUCAGCCCCACUAAGAAUAAAGGACCCCCAAAAAAGUGGAGGAAAAAACCCUCUAGUAACAAAACCCUCCAAAAAACAGACUCCAAUCUAUAAAAAUAACCCCCAAAACAACAAAAACAUUCCCAAAUAACAGAAGAAACCCCAAAGGACUUAAAAAAAACCCCAAAAUAAUAAAAGAACUAAAAAUAAGUUAAAAAAACCCCAAAAUAACAAUCCCUCAAUAACUAAUUAAAAAAACCCUCCAAAAUAACAAAAAACUCCCAAAAUAACAAAAAAAACCCACCAAAGUAGCUACCCCCUUCCCAAAUAACACAAAACCCCACCCCCAAAGUAACAAAAAGACACCAAAAUAACAAAAAACUUCAAAUAACUAAAAAAAAAACACCUAAAUAAUAAAAAACUCCCAAAAAAGCUAAAAAACUCCAAAAUAACACAAAAAAAAUCAACCCCAAAAGAAGAAAGAUACCUAAAUAAAAAACCUGCCAAGUAGCUUAAAAAAAAACCCAAAAUAACUAAAAAAUCCCCAAAUAACAAUGAAGCCAACCCCAAAAUAGCUAAAAACCCUACAAAUAAUACAAAACCCCAACCCCAACAUAACAAAAAGACACCAAGGUAACAAAAAACCCCAAGUAACUACAGCAAAAAUAAUCCCCAAAUAACAAAAAACUCCCAAAAUGGCUAAAAAACCCCAAAAUAACACAAAAAAAAAUCAACCCCAAAAUAACAAAAAGACACCAAAAUAACAACUCCCCUCAAUAUCUUGAAAAAAAAAAAUCUCCAAAAUACCUAAAAAUCUCCAAAUAACAAAGAACCCAACCCCAAAAUAACUAAAAACCCUCCAAGUAACAUAAAAAACUAACCCCCAAAUAACAAAAAGACACCAAGGUACCACAAAAAUCCCAAGUAACUGCAACAAAACCAAUCCCCAAAUAACAAAAAAACUCCCCAAAUGGCUAAAAAUCCCCGAAAUAACACAAAAAAUCAACC
Molecule: long non-coding RNA, 5568 nt
Organism: Pogoniulus pusillus (Red-fronted tinkerbird)
Lineage: Eukaryota; Metazoa; Chordata; Aves; Piciformes; Lybiidae
Exons: 2
Source: RefSeq, a predicted model, not a curated record